RNAcentral lists this ribosomal RNA (518 nucleotides) under uncultured bacterium. RNAcentral's name for it is "bacterial SSU rRNA". It matches the Rfam family "Bacterial small subunit ribosomal RNA", at positions 8 to 521 of the family's 1533-position model. The record is from RNAcentral.
AGAGUUUGAUCCUGGCUCAGAUUGAACGCUGGCGGCAUGCUUUACACAUGCAAGUCGAACGGCAGCACGGGGGCAACCCUGGUGGCGAGUGGCGAACGGGUGAGUAAUACAUCGGAACGUAUCCUUGAGUGGGGGAUAACGCAGCGAAAGUUGUGCUAAUACCGCAUGAGCUCUGAGGAGGAAAGUGGGGGACCGUAAGGCCUCACGCUGAAGGGGCGGCCGAUGUCCGAUUAGCUAGUUGGUGAGGUAAAGGCUCACCAAGGCUUCGAUCGGUAGCUGGUCUGAGAGGAUGAUCAGCCACACUGGGACUGAGACACGGCCCAGACUCCUACGGGAGGCAGCAGUGGGGAAUUUUGGACAAUGGGGGCAACCCUGAUCCAGCCAUGCCGCGUGAGUGAAGAAGGCCUUCGGGUUGUAAAGCUCUUUCGUGAGGGAAGAAACGGCCAUAGUGAAUAGCUGUGGUUACUGACGGUACCUCAAGAAGAUGCACUGGCUAACUACGUGCCAGCAGCCGCGGU